AAGCUAGCACAAGAAACAAAAAGGAAGACGGUGAAGGAAACCUUACUAUGAAGUAAUUUUGGGGUCGGUGUAAAAUUGAGUUCUAAAGGGCUAUAUAUAGAGCAUUUCAAAUGAACAGGAGAGAUGACACAUACACUACACGUUACAGAGAGGAUUGGAAUUGACAGAAGAGAACACGAGAGAGUUUGAAGAUCUUGAAGUAGGGAUUGAAGUUGGAGCAAAAAUCUGCACUCUAUUUUGGGUUAUCUCUUACUCUAAUUUCAUGAAUCCUAUUUCAAUUUUAGUGUUCUUGUUCAUGGAUAGCUAAAUCAUUUUCUAGGGUUUAGGUGGAUCUUGCAAGUUUAGAGACCUUGUAAUAUUCUAGUUAUUAAUUUGAAUUUCAGUUUUUAUUCCAAUCAAGUUUGUUCUAUUGAUUUUAUUACAUGAUUAGGAAUGACCAAACCUUUGCAUGUUAACAAUCAGUUAAUUGAUCAGCGAUCGUACUGCAGUUAAUUGGUGGACCUAUAGGACAAUUGAGACUAGAAUUAUUGCAUGAUCAAACCUUAAUUUUAGUCUUCCAAUCAUUCAACCUUUUCGCGCUUUAUGCUUUUCUUGGUUUCAACUCUUUGAAUGACCAAACAAAGUGUUAAUUUAAGAAAAAGAAUAUUAAUCACGAAUGACCAAACGGAUUAAUAGUUUUAGUAAAGGGAUUGGUGAUGAAUAAAAAUAAAGGAAUUGAAUUAGAACUAGACAUUAGGGAAUCGAAACUUGCAAGUGAAACCGUGACCCUAGACCUCUCUCUAUUGAUUUACAUCUUCGCACUUUUAUCCUUCUUCGUCGUUACUUUUUACUUGGUUACCGAAACUAUUCUACUACUUGUUCGUCUAAAUAAUAAAUUAAUCUUAAUUAGUUUAGUACUUGCUAAUUAAUCCCUGUGGAUACGAUAAUCUUUUAUACUACUUCUGCGAUAGAGUACACUUGCUCUAAGUGUGUUUUUAG
This 978-nucleotide long non-coding RNA is filed under the name Medicago truncatula (barrel medic). RNAcentral's name for it is "long non-coding RNA (MTRU_LNC008607)". Lineage: Eukaryota; Viridiplantae; Streptophyta; Magnoliopsida; Fabales; Fabaceae. The record is from RNAcentral.